This 504-nucleotide ribosomal RNA is filed under the name uncultured bacterium. RNAcentral describes it as "partial 16S ribosomal RNA". It matches the Rfam family "Bacterial small subunit ribosomal RNA", at positions 28 to 523 of the family's 1533-position model. The record is from RNAcentral.
GAUAAACGCUAGCGGCAGGCUUAACACAUGCAAGUCGAGGGGCAGCAUAGAUUGUAGCAAUACAAUUGGUGGCGACCGGCGCACGGGUGCGUAACGCGUAUGCAACCUACCCGUCACAGGGGGAUAAUCCUGACAAAUCUGGUCUAAUACCCCAUAACAUAUGGAUCGGCAUCGGUUCAUGUUGAAAUUUUCGUAGGUGACGGAUGGGCAUGCGUAGCAUUAGCUUGUUGGUGAGGUAACGGCUCACCAAGGCGACGAUGCUUAGGGGGACUGAGAGGUUUUCCCCCCACACUGGUACUGAGACACGGACCAGACUCCUACGGGAGGCAGCAGUGAGGAAUAUUGGUCAAUGGGCGCAAGCCUGAACCAGCCAUGCCGCGUGCAGGAUGACGGCUCUAUGAGUUGUAAACUGCUUUUGUACGAGGGUAAAGUGGGUUACGUGUAACCUUUUGAAAGUAUCGUACGAAUAAGGAUCGGCUAACUCCGUGCCAGCCGCCGCCGUAA